CCCUUAGAUGUUCUGGGCUGCACGCGCGCUACACUGAACAGUUCAACAAGUCUUAACCUUGGCCGAUAGGUCUGGGUAAUCUUUGAACGCUGUUCGUGAUGGGGAUAGACUUUUGCAAUUUUUGGUCUUCAACGAGGAAUUCCUAGUAAACGCAAGUCAUCAACUUGCAUUGAUUACGUCCCUGCCCUUUGUACACACCGCCCGUCGCACCUACCGAUUGAAUGGUCCGGUGAAGCCUCCGGAUUGGCGCGCACCUCGGUGCCGCCGAGAAGUUGGCUAAACCUUACCAUUUAGAGGAAGGUGAAGUCGUAACA
Molecule: ribosomal RNA, 314 nt
Filed under: uncultured eukaryote
Lineage: Eukaryota
Description: partial 18S ribosomal RNA
Rfam family: Eukaryotic small subunit ribosomal RNA
Source: RNAcentral